AUGUAUACAGUUCUGAGUAGGGUGGCCUUUUGUAGCAGACAGAUAGUAAUUUUGUCAGUGCCAAUUGUGUUUAAAUGCAGGCCAAGAUCUUUAGGCACUGCACCCAGUGUGCCGAUCACCACUGGGACAAUCUUUACUGGCUUAUGCCAGAGUCUGGUGGAGCCCGUGGGGAACCCAUCACAUCUCACUCCGCAUUGCCCACCUUGCUCCUCAGUCCUCACCACAUCCCAUGGGGGGAAACGUUUGCCACCUGGCUUCCCUUUGUUCUUGCCUAUGCAACACAGGAAGCUUGCCAUGCUGCUGCCAUGGCAACUUAACAUGCUUUCACUUCUCUUGCACCACAGAGCACAGCUGGAUGUAGAUCGAUGUGGGAUGAGAGCUAGCAGACUCCAUGCUACAAGUGAAGUGUCAUACAACAGGCAGUUUUGCCCAUCUGAUGAGGCCCUGACACACAACUCCAAAAGCUUGGACCUCUGUCGUCUUUUUGACGGACAUUAAUUGCCUACUCUGGAAUGACGCUGGACUGACUGACUGACUACGACCUCGGACUAUCCCUUCUGUGGCUAUCGGUGGAACUUGUGAACUAAAGACGUCUGUACCUGGCUUUCGACCUCGGACCGGAUUGGGACCCUGCUGACCGUUGCUACCCUGAUUGAUGUGCCUGGAUCCGGAUUUCGUUUGUUGCACGGAGGAGUAACAACCUUAGUUACUCAUUUGUAGCUUUUGAGUAGCAGAGAGGAAUCUGCUGCCAGCUAUUUAUGUUUCAUUGAAUCUUUGUUUAUCAACUUUUGCUUGUUUAAAUUGCCAGGCUGAAGUAAGCAUUUUUGGUUUAACCCGGAUUAAAGUCCUAUUUAAUCCGGUUUAUCUUUCAAACCGCUUUUAGUACCAGCGGAGUCUUUUUUGUAUCUUUUCACAGUGAAGGCAAGUGUUUGCCUAGUCCUUUGUUUCUUACGGGCAUUUUUAGUUCUGUAACUUUAAUAAACUGUGUUGAACUUUAUUUGGUGGUGUUCUGUCUUUGACAAUUCAUUUGAAUGUAAUUAAAUACAUAUGAAUAAAUUAACACAGGAAUGAGGAACUGGACGCUGAGGAAAUGGGAUAGCAAAGACUGAAGGGCAGAGAAUUCUAGAUGACAUAGUAAAAAACUUAACUUUUCCAACUCUAGUUCUUAUAAAAUUAGAAUCUAGUUGUAUUGCCUUAUAAUACAAUCUGAUGAUAGAAGGACUGCCUGUCUUUCCCACACAUUGUGCUGAAGUGAAAAGUAAUUUAUCCCUCCAACUCUUCUUCCCCCCCCCCUUCAUAAUUAACACUAAUAGUUUAAACACCAUUGGAAGUCAAUUUCAGCCCCCAGAUUGAAAUUCUGAAUGAAACACAUAGAGAAAGUUUUCAAGGUGUUUUUCAUUUCCCCCCUUUUCAAUUCCAUGCAUCUUCAGACCAGUGACUCAGAACAGCAAACAAACUGAAAAAGAGCAAGACUGACAGGACUGCCAUUUUACUGUCAUAAAUUUGAUCCCCCUAAGGCACUUUAUGCUGAGAAAACAAUAAGUUAAAUUUUGAUCUCCU
Long non-coding RNA from Anolis carolinensis (green anole), 1560 nucleotides. The record is from Ensembl. NCBI's taxonomy places the organism in Eukaryota, Metazoa, Chordata, Lepidosauria, Squamata, Anolidae.